AUUGAACGCUGGCGGAAUGCUUUACACAUGCAAGUCGAACGGCAGCACGGACUUCGGUCUGGUGGCGAGUGGCGAACGGGUGAGUAAUGUAUCGGAACGUGCCCAGUCGUGGGGGAUAACGUAGUGAAAAUUACGCUAAUACCGCAUACGAUCUAUGGAUGAAAGCGGGGGAUCGCAAGACAUCGCGCGAUUUGAGCGGGCGAUAUCAGAUUAGGUAGUUGGUGGGGUAAAGGCCCCCCAAGCCAACGAUCUGUAGCUGGUCUGAGAGGACGACCAGCCACACUGGGACUGAGACACGGUCCAGACUCCUACGGGAGGCAGCAGUGGGGAAUUUUGGACAAUGGGCGAAAGCCUGAUCCAGCCAUUCCGCGUGCAGGAUGAAGGCCCUCGGGUUGUAAACUGCUUUUGUACAGAACGAAAAGGUUUCUACUAAUACUAGGAGCUCAUGACGGUACUGUAAGAAUAAGCACCGGCUAACUACGUGCCAGCCGCCGCCGUAA
RNAcentral lists this ribosomal RNA (500 nucleotides) under uncultured bacterium. RNAcentral's name for it is "partial 16S ribosomal RNA". It matches the Rfam family "Bacterial small subunit ribosomal RNA", at positions 30 to 523 of the family's 1533-position model. The record is from RNAcentral.